AGAUAUGAAGUAAAAAAUUACAGUUAAUUUCGACCUAACCUAUGGAUUUAAUUUCCCUUAUCUA
This 64-nucleotide transfer RNA is filed under the name Catacanthus incarnatus. RNAcentral's name for it is "tRNA-Arg". The record is from RNAcentral. Lineage: Eukaryota; Metazoa; Arthropoda; Insecta; Hemiptera; Pentatomidae.